RNAcentral lists this ribosomal RNA (373 nucleotides) under uncultured organism. RNAcentral describes it as "bacterial SSU rRNA". It matches the Rfam family "Bacterial small subunit ribosomal RNA", at positions 526 to 896 of the family's 1533-position model. The record is from RNAcentral.
CGAGAGGUGCAAGCGUUAUUCGGAAUUAUUGGGCGUAAAGGGUGCGUAGGCGGUAUGAUAAGUCUGUUGUUAAAUAUCCUGGCUCAACCAGGAAAAUGCAAUGGAAACUAUCGUUCUAGAGGGUGAGAGAGAGAAGUGGAAUUCCAGGAGUUAGCGGUCAAAUGCGUAGAUCUCUGGAGGAACACCGAUGGCGAAGGCAGCUUCUUGGCUCAUUUCUGACGCUGAGGCACGAAAGCGUGGGGAGCAAACAGGAUUAGAUACCCUGGUAGUCCACGCUGUAAACGAUGAUCACUAGAUGUUGGUUCGGCUUGCCGGAUCAGUGUCGUAGCUAACGCGUUAAGUGAUUCGCCUGGGAAGUACGGUCGCAAGACUA